GCCGUCGCGGUGUAACGGUACCACAUUCGGCUUGCAUUCGAAAGGUUCAGGUUCGAGUCCCGACGAGGGCA
This 71-nucleotide transfer RNA is filed under the name Stegodyphus mimosarum. It matches the Rfam family "tRNA". Rfam says of the family: Transfer RNA (tRNA) molecules are approximately 80 nucleotides in length. Their secondary structure includes four short double-helical elements and three loops (D, anti-codon, and T loops). Further hydrogen bonds mediate the characteristic L-shaped molecular structure. tRNAs have two regions of fundamental functional importance: the anti-codon, which is responsible for specific mRNA codon recognition, and the 3' end, to which the tRNAs corresponding amino acid is attached (by aminoacyl-tRNA synthetases). tRNAs cope with the degeneracy of the genetic code in two manners: having more than one tRNA (with a specific anti-codon) for a particular amino acid; and 'wobble' base-pairing, i.e. permitting non-standard base-pairing at the 3rd anti-codon position. The record is from Rfam by way of RNAcentral. Lineage: Eukaryota; Metazoa; Arthropoda; Arachnida; Araneae; Eresidae.